UGGGGAAUUUUUCGCAAUGGGGGAAACCCUGACGAAGCAACGCCGCGUGGAGGAUGAAGGCCUUCGGGUCGUAAACUCCUGUCGACCGGGACGAAAGUAGUCCAACCUAAUACGUCGGGCUAUCGACUGUACCGGUGGCGGAAGCCACGGCUAACUCUGUGCCAGCAGCCGCGGUAAUACAGAGGUGGCAAGCGUUGUUCGGAAUUACUGGGCGUAAAGGGCGCGUAGGCGGCCCGAUAAGUCCCGCGUGAAAGCCCCCGGCUCAACUGGGGAACGGCGCGGGAAACUAUCGGGCUUGAGUUCGGGAGAGGGAAGCGGAAUUCCGGGUGUAGCGGUGAAAUGCGUAGAUAUCCGGAGGAACACCGGUGGCGAAGGCGGCUUCCUGGACCGACACUGACGCUGAGGCGCGAAAGCUAGGGGAGCAAAC
RNAcentral lists this ribosomal RNA (427 nucleotides) under uncultured bacterium. RNAcentral describes it as "bacterial SSU rRNA". It matches the Rfam family "Bacterial small subunit ribosomal RNA", at positions 355 to 773 of the family's 1533-position model. The record is from RNAcentral.